UUGGCGAAGGACCGGAAGCGAGGUAUAGAGUUCCUACGUUGUUUUAUUAAUUUCCGGUAGGAACUUCAUACCGUGCUCUUGGUCCUAGCACA
Rhodnius prolixus is the source of this 92-nucleotide non-coding RNA. NCBI's taxonomy places the organism in Eukaryota, Metazoa, Arthropoda, Insecta, Hemiptera, Reduviidae. The record is from Rfam.